GACGAACGCUGGCGGCGUGCUUAACACAUGCAAGUCGAACGGAAAGGCCCUGCUUUUGUGGGGUGCUCGAGUGGCGAACGGGUGAGUAACACGUGAGUAACCUGCCCUUGACUUUGGGAUAACUUCAGGAAACUGGGGCUAAUACCGGAUAUGAGCUCCUGCUGCAUGGUGGGGGUUGGAAAGUUUCGGCGGUUGGGGAUGGACUCGCGGCUUAUCAGCUUGUUGGUGGGGUAGUGGCUUACCAAGGCUUUGACGGGUAGCCGGCCUGAGAGGGUGACCGGCCACAUUGGGACUGAGAUACGGCACAGACUCGAACGGGAGGCAGCAGUGGGGAAUAUUGCACAAUGGGCGGAAGCCUGAUGCAGCAACGCCGGGUGCGGGAUGACGGCCUUCGGGUUGUAAACCGCUUUAGACUGUGACGAAGAGUGAGUGACGGUAAUGGGUAAAGAAGCACCGGCUAACUACGUG
RNAcentral lists this ribosomal RNA (468 nucleotides) under uncultured bacterium. RNAcentral describes it as "partial 16S ribosomal RNA". It matches the Rfam family "Bacterial small subunit ribosomal RNA", at positions 28 to 507 of the family's 1533-position model. The record is from RNAcentral.